AGUGUUUUCAUUAAUCAAGAACGAAAGUGAGAGGUUCGAAGCGAUAGAUACCGCCCUAGUUCUCACCGUAAAUGAUGCCAACUGCCAAUCCGCUGGGGAUUUAAUUCACGAGCGGGCGGGUUUCCGGAAACGAAAGUCUUUCGGUUCCGGGGGAAGUAUGGUUGCAAAGCUGAAACUUAAAGGAAUUGACGGAAGGGCACCACCAGGAGUGGAGCUUGCGGCUUAAUUUGACUCAACACGGGAAACCUCACCCGGCCAGCACAUCGUAAGGAUUGACAGACCGAUAGCUCUUUCAUGAUUCGUUGGAUGGUGGUGCAUGGCCGUUCUUAGUUCGUGCUAAUUGAAGUGUCUGCUUUAUUGCGAUAACGAGCGAGACGCCAACUGUUAACUAGUGCGUUGAUUGGUUCGCUUGUCAACGAUCGACUUCUUAACGGGAUUUGUGGUUACUAGCCUCAAGAAAUGGCGCAAUAACAGGUCUGUGAUGCCCUUAGAUGUUCGGGGCCGCACGCGUGCUACAAUGGUGGUAUCAGCGUGCUUGUCCUACUCCGAAAGGAGAUGGCAAACAGUUGAGAUAUUAUUAUGGCUGGAAUUGAGUGUUGAAAUUUUCACUCAUGAACGAGGAAUUCCAAGUAAAUGCGAGUCAUCAACUCGCAUUGAUUACGUCCCUGCCCUUUGUACACACCGCCCGUCGCUCCCCGGGACUGAGUUGUUUCGAGAAAGCCACGGACCGGUGUCGCUCGUGUUUCGCACGUACGAC
Molecule: ribosomal RNA, 757 nt
Filed under: Aphelenchoides sp. Ap145
Lineage: Eukaryota; Metazoa; Nematoda; Chromadorea; Rhabditida; Aphelenchoididae
Description: SSU rRNA
Rfam family: Eukaryotic small subunit ribosomal RNA
Source: RNAcentral